UUUUGCAGAUGUCUUAAAUUCUCAUUCCAUGUUAAAGAAUCACAGAGAGCCUGUAAAGGUGAAUCCACCGGGGCUGGCUGGGGAAAAGGAGGAAGCUUGCUCCAGAAGGAACUGUCUGAGGGAU
Non-coding RNA from Canis lupus familiaris (dog), 124 nucleotides. The record is from Rfam. Lineage: Eukaryota; Metazoa; Chordata; Mammalia; Carnivora; Canidae.